AGGGUUUGAUCAUGGCUCAGAUUGAACGCUGGCGGUAGGCUUAACACAUGCAAGUCGUGCGAGAAAGUAUCUUCGGAUAUAAGUAGAGCGGCGGACGGGUGAGUAACGCGUAGGAAUCUACCUAGUAGAAGGGGAUAGCCCGAGGAAACUCGGAUUAAUACCGUAUACCUCCUUAGGGAGAAAGAGGGCCUCUCUUGAAGCUCUCGCUAUUAGAUGAGCCUGCGUAAGAUUAGCUUGUUGGUGAGGUAAUGGCUCACCAAGGCUACGAUCUUUAGCUGGUCUGAGAGGACGAUCAGCCACAUUGGGACUGAGACACGGCCCAGACUCCUACGGGGGGCAGCAGUGGGGAAUAUUGGACAAUGGGCGCAAGCCUGAUCCAGCCAUACCGCGUGUGUGAAGAAGGCCCUAGGGUUGUAAAGCACUUUAAGCAGGGAGAAAAAGUUAUGAGUUAAUACCUCAUAACCUUGAUGUUACCUGCAGAAUAAGCACCGGCUAAUUCCGUGCCAGCCGCCGCGGUAAUAC
RNAcentral lists this ribosomal RNA (522 nucleotides) under uncultured bacterium. RNAcentral's name for it is "bacterial SSU rRNA". It matches the Rfam family "Bacterial small subunit ribosomal RNA", at positions 8 to 526 of the family's 1533-position model. The record is from RNAcentral.